UACGUAGGUGGCAAGCGUUGUCCGGAAUUAUUGGGCGUAAAGCGCACGUAGGCGGUCCGCUAAGUCGGGUGUGAAAUCCCUCGGCUUAACCGAGGAAGUGCAUUCGAAACUGGCGGGCUUGAGUACUGAAGAGGGUCGCGGAAUUCCCGGUGUAGAGGUGAAAUUCGUAGAUAUCGGGAGGAACACCAGUGGCGAAGGCGGCGACCUGGGCAGAUACUGACGCUGAGGUGCGAAAGCGUGGGGAGCAAACAGG
This 253-nucleotide ribosomal RNA is filed under the name uncultured bacterium. RNAcentral's name for it is "partial 16S ribosomal RNA". It matches the Rfam family "Bacterial small subunit ribosomal RNA", at positions 524 to 776 of the family's 1533-position model. The record is from RNAcentral.